RNAcentral lists this long non-coding RNA (579 nucleotides) under Suricata suricatta (meerkat). RNAcentral describes it as "lncRNA (ENSSSUG00005012942.1)". The record is from RNAcentral. Lineage: Eukaryota; Metazoa; Chordata; Mammalia; Carnivora; Herpestidae.
AGUCCAUGGGUGUGUUCCAGGGACUCUUUCAGUGGUUCUCUGAAUCCCAGCAAAAACUUUUUCCAGGGUCUUCCAGGCCUCCGAGGAGAACCUGGCCCCCCUGGCCCGCCUGGCCUCCCUGGAGCCCAGGGAAAGCCAGGAGAGGAUGGCAAGCCUGGCCUGAAUGGGAAAAAUGGAGAACCUGGGGACCCUGGAGAAGAUGGAAGGAAGGUAAGGCCUCUCGCUUGGAGUCUGGUCUGCCCUCAGCAUAGGGCACAAUCUAAACUAUGCUUGUCUUCCAUAGGGAGAGAAGGGAGACUCGGGCGCCCCUGGGAGAGAAGUGAGUGCUGGAGCCUUCUGCAGCCUGGCCUCUGCUCCUGACUCCGUGAUGUAUGGUUCCACUCCUUCUGGGGUCUCAGGGUCCUGAUCCUGGCUGCAUCCUCCACAGGGUCACGAGGGUCCCAAGGGUGAGCGUGGAGCUCCUGGGAGUCCUGGACUGCAGGGUCCCCCAGGCCUCCCUGGGCAGGUGGGCCCUUCUGGCCAGGUGAGUAUCCAGGAGGGUAGUUCUAGGACUUGGGGGUGUGGGGGGCCGUUAUGUUC